UGCCGUGAUUUUUCUGGGAACCUCAGCUGGCUCAGCCAUUUAACCAGCCAACCGCAUGUGAAUAAGAUUACGGUAAUGGUCUACAUAGGACUUUUCGUCUUGGGAACAUCCAAAGUAGAUGUGAAGGCAAGCCAAUCGUUUAUUCGUUUCUGUCGAACACCUUUAUGAUUGAGCCAACUGCAUGAGAAAGAAGCAAUGAAGUGUUUACACAUGGAGAAAAAAAAACUGUCAACUCUAACAGAACAAUGAUGAUGACGAAAUGAACUGCAAAGAAAGGAUAAUCUUACACAAGAGCCUGUGUUUUCAGGUCCUGUUCAAGCCGGGUCUUACUGUCGUGAAUCUCGCCAAGACGGGAUUUGAGCUUCUCAUAGU
Sinocyclocheilus rhinocerous is the source of this 372-nucleotide long non-coding RNA. RefSeq lists it as uncharacterized. The record is from RefSeq and is a predicted model, not a curated record. NCBI's taxonomy places the organism in Eukaryota, Metazoa, Chordata, Actinopteri, Cypriniformes, Cyprinidae. The transcript is spliced from 3 exons.